RNAcentral lists this ribosomal RNA (404 nucleotides) under uncultured bacterium. RNAcentral describes it as "bacterial SSU rRNA". It matches the Rfam family "Bacterial small subunit ribosomal RNA", at positions 354 to 775 of the family's 1533-position model. The record is from RNAcentral.
AUGAGGAAUAUUGCGCAAUGGGCGAAAGCCUGACGCAGCGACGCCGCGUGGGUGAGGAAGUCCUUCGGGAUGUAAAGCCCUUUUCUCGGGGACGAAACGGACGGUACCCGAGGAAGAAGCCCCGGCUAACUACGUGCCAGCAGCCGCGGUAAUACGUAGGGGGCAAGCGUUGUCCGGAUUUACUGGGCGUAAAGCGCGCGUAGGCGGAACUUCAAGUCCGGUCUGAAAGCCCCCGGCUCAACCGGGGAGGGUGGCUGGAAACUGGGGUUCUUGAGGGCGAGAGAGGAGGGUGGAAUUCCUGGUGUAGCGGUGAAAUGCGUAGAGAUCAGGAGGAACACCCGGGGCGAAGGCGGCCCUCUGGCUCGACCCUGACGCUGAGGCGCGAAAGCGUGGGGAGCGAACGG